GAAAAAUUAAAUGCCUCUCAAAAUGUAUAAUUAUGUACAAAUACGUGCAUACAUUGACACAUUCUCAAUAGAAACACACGAAUACCCUUUCAUUGAACAAUUAUGUCCUGUACAUAAUCAACUAAUCAAACCUAUUUACUUGUUUUUAUAAAUAUACAUGUAGCAUAUUGUUUGAAAGCGGCACACACACAUUUUUAUCUAUUUCAUCGUACAGUCUCGAACUAUGAGCAAUACCAGUGACAACAUAGUUUACUCUUAAAAGACACUGGUACAACAUAAUGUGAAAUGUGCUUUUCAAUAGAGCAAACUAACGAUCACUGAAUGUAAAAUUAUGUUAAAAAACUAUAAAAAAAGAAAAGUAAUUAACGACCACUGCUAGUUUCGGACAGACAUAAUAAAUCACUUUACAGUAUGAGUUUUCCUCAAUGUUGAAGGCCGUGGUGUUGACUAUAUAAAUAAACAUAUAACUGUAUGGAUGUACUUUGUUUCAAGCUCUUUAGAAGUUUUCAUGAUGAUUGCAUGUAAUGUGUAAUAAAUAAGAUUAACC
This 547-nucleotide long non-coding RNA is filed under the name Mytilus galloprovincialis (Mediterranean mussel). The record is from RNAcentral. Lineage: Eukaryota; Metazoa; Mollusca; Bivalvia; Mytilida; Mytilidae.